CGGAGCCGGCUGGCGGCCACGGGAGUUGCACUCCUGAGGAAGCACCGCCCUCCACGCGGUGCGAGGACCCCGUAAGGGGUGCGGGGAGACCCGCGGCAACAGCACAGAAACGACACGGCCGCUCCCGAAUGUCAAUGAGGCGGCGAGGACGCUUCGGCAACGAAGCGUCAGUAACCCGCUGAGUAUGGGAGCGGAUGCGUUGAAACGGCUGCCCCCUCGGGAGCAAGGCCAAGUAGCGCCGAUGAGGACCGCGUGAGGCGCGGGUAGGCCGUUGAGCUUAAUGCCGCCGUAGUACUGAAGGCGGGCUAUAGCCGGCACCG
Molecule: RNase P RNA, 320 nt
Filed under: Desulfurococcaceae archaeon
Lineage: Archaea; Thermoproteati; Thermoproteota; Thermoprotei; Desulfurococcales; Desulfurococcaceae
Also listed under: 1 other name
Description: RNase P RNA component
Rfam family: Archaeal RNase P
About the family: Ribonuclease P (RNase P) is a ubiquitous endoribonuclease, found in archaea, bacteria and eukarya as well as chloroplasts and mitochondria. Its best characterised activity is the generation of mature 5'-ends of tRNAs by cleaving the 5'-leader elements of precursor-tRNAs.
Source: RNAcentral